UACGGAGGGGGCAAGCGUUAUUCGGAAUUAUUGGGCGUAAAGAGCUCGUAGGCGGUUUGUCGCGUCGAAUGUGAAAACCCGGGGCUCAACCCCGGGCCUGCAUUCGAUACGGGCAGACUAGAGUUCGGUAGGGGAGUCUGGAAUUCCUGGUGUAGCGGUGAAAUGCGCAGAUAUCAGGAGGAACACCGGUGGCGAAGGCGGGACUCUGGGCCGAUACUGACGUUGAGGAGCGAAAGCGUGGGGAGCGAACAGG
This 253-nucleotide ribosomal RNA is filed under the name uncultured bacterium. RNAcentral's name for it is "partial 16S ribosomal RNA". It matches the Rfam family "Bacterial small subunit ribosomal RNA", at positions 524 to 776 of the family's 1533-position model. The record is from RNAcentral.